RNAcentral lists this ribosomal RNA (467 nucleotides) under uncultured bacterium. RNAcentral's name for it is "partial 16S ribosomal RNA". It matches the Rfam family "Bacterial small subunit ribosomal RNA", at positions 28 to 506 of the family's 1533-position model. The record is from RNAcentral.
GACGAACGCUGGCGGCGUGCUUAACACAUGCAAGUCGAACGGAAAGGCCCUGCUUUUGUGGGGUGCUCGAGUGGCGAACGGGUGAGUAACACGUGAGUAACCUGCCCUUGACUUUGGGAUAACUUCAGGAAACUGGGGCUAAUACCGGAUAGGAGCUCCUGCUGCAUGGUGGGGGUUGGAAAGUUUCGGCGGUUGGGGAUGGACUCGCGGCUUAUCAGCUUGUUGGUGGGGUAGUGGCUUACCAAGGCUUUGACGGGUAGCCGGCCUGAGAGGGUGACCGGCCAAAUUGGGACUGGGAUACGGCCCAGGCUCCUACGGGGGGAAGCAGUGGGGAAUGUUGAACAAUGGGGGGAAGCCUGAUGCAGCAACGCCGGGGGGGGGAUGACGGCCUUGGGGUUGUAACCCGCUUUCGCCUGGGACGAAGGGGGGGUGACGGUAAUGGGUAAAGAAGCACCGGCUAACUACGU